ACAGUGUAAGAGCGACCACAGAAACCAGUGACCUUACCCAGGCUUCUACCAUGCCUUCCCCCACUACCACUCUCGGCAACCUCCCGGUGCCCACGAUCAGAACACCCAGCAAUCCAUUCCCACCCCCCAACCAGCCAGCCAGCUAGCUCUGAUCCCCCUCACCUCCAUAGCAAGCACACACACAGACAGCGUGUCCCUACAGAGAGCCCUGAACACAUCCCCUGCAAAUCUUCCAUGAUCCAUUGUUUGCGUGGAUCUCUCUCAUUCAGAAAGCAAAAGCCUCUAACAGGGGGAAGAGAGGUGUGAAAGGAGAUAUUAAACUUACCAGCAGAAGACAAGGCAGCCUGGAAGCUCAGCAAAUGAACAAUAUCCUCUUUUUCUAGGUUUCCACAGGAUAACAAUGGGAUAUGAUGGAGCGACAGCGGAUUGGCACCAAACGAUCAAACGCUUUCAGUCCUCCCAGGAUGCAACGGGCCCAUCCAUAUAUCCCCGCCCACUGGCUCACGCAAGUCAGUUGGAUUCCAAAGCAUUUAGGCAGGAGCAUUAUGCAGAACUCUAUUCAGGAUACAAUCCUGCAGAUGUCGCAACCUGAACUCCAUGGCUGCAGAGGUUUGACAGCACCAGGGAAAUGUAAAAGAAGCAGCCUUCAGCUUCCCUGUGUACACCUGGCUGCUGCAGGGAGGAGCAGCAUAAGAAAAUGUAAAGCCGCAAUGUCAUGAUGGUCCGAUAUAUUGGUCCUCAAUGUUUAAAUUGACGUUUAUAAAAAUGUUUCCUUUAAAACAAAAAAUCAUGUUGAAUAUGUUGUAAAUAGACUCGUCAAUUUCUGUCUAUUUUCCGGAAAAAAAGUAUUAGCCACUUAAGUGGUUAAGAAACAAGAAAUAUACAUUAACACUCAUUAUUAUGAAUGACUUAUAUACAGUAUGUCAUAAAAAGGUGAUUGACAAAAAUGGCCUAUUUUGGGUAUUUGACCUGGCUAUAAAGCAUAUAUUGAUUCAUUCCUUGGUUUGUUACCUAACCUUAGUAAAUAACUGAAUGAUAUUGAACUGUAUUUUUACACUGCGUUUUGUGUCCUCAAGUCCUUUUAAGUAUA
Molecule: long non-coding RNA, 1090 nt
Organism: Pseudophryne corroboree (corroboree frog)
Lineage: Eukaryota; Metazoa; Chordata; Amphibia; Anura; Myobatrachidae
Exons: 3
Source: RefSeq, a predicted model, not a curated record